GCCAGUGUGAUGUAGUGGAUUGAGUGCUGGACUACAACUCUGGAGACUAGGGUUCAAUUCCCAGCUCAGCCA
Molecule: non-coding RNA, 72 nt
Organism: Phrynosoma platyrhinos (Desert horned lizard)
Lineage: Eukaryota; Metazoa; Chordata; Lepidosauria; Squamata; Phrynosomatidae
Source: the annotation of a GenBank genome assembly